AUGGGUGCGAAAGAGCAUAGCUGAAUCAAAUCACCUCUUGAUUCAGAGGAAAGUCCGGACUGCAUGGGACAACAUAGUGGCUAACGACCACACAGGGUAACCUGAUGAUUAGAGCAACAGAGACGAGCGUGAUUAAAUUCACGGUGAAACGAGCAAUCUCUAUGUGCAGCAACCUCAAGCAGGAUUCCAACGGCACGUCCCAGUCAUUAUAGGAAUCGGGUAGAGGGCUUGACAUUUUGUGGCAACACAAUUUGCAGAUUAAUUAUGCUCACAACCUUUAAUGUGUUUCGACACGUUUCGGGCUGAACAGAAUCCGGCUUAUUGAACACCUGUUUAU
RNAcentral lists this RNase P RNA (337 nucleotides) under Alphaproteobacteria bacterium. RNAcentral's name for it is "RNase P RNA component class A". It matches the Rfam family "Bacterial RNase P class A". Rfam says of the family: Ribonuclease P (RNase P) is a ubiquitous endoribonuclease, found in archaea, bacteria and eukarya as well as chloroplasts and mitochondria. Its best characterised activity is the generation of mature 5'-ends of tRNAs by cleaving the 5'-leader elements of precursor-tRNAs. Cellular RNase Ps are ribonucleoproteins. Lineage: Bacteria; Pseudomonadati; Pseudomonadota; Alphaproteobacteria. The record is from RNAcentral.